UACAUAUCCGUUUAACUGCUACUGACAAAUUUAAAUUACACAAAACUUGAAAUAGUCUCAUUUAAAAGUUGAUUACAAGAUAAAACCAUUGGACCCCUUUUUUCCCUUAAUAUAUAUAUAUAUAUAAAAAAAAAAAUAAUAAUGAAAAUUUCCCACACCCUGAGACUGGUUGGUAGGGUUUGUGACAAACAGCAAUAAGAAGUCUGUCCUAAAUUAGUGAUCAAUAAAUAUACACUUCUAUAAACUUUUGUCCUUUAAAUUGUGGUACUUUAUUGCAAAAUCUGUAUUCAUGCAGUACAUGCAUAUCUGAUU
This 312-nucleotide long non-coding RNA is filed under the name Mytilus galloprovincialis (Mediterranean mussel). The record is from RNAcentral. Lineage: Eukaryota; Metazoa; Mollusca; Bivalvia; Mytilida; Mytilidae.